CCUUAAAGAACCUGUCUUUGUAGUGCUCACACAGAUUGUUUGAUAAAUAAUAAAUUUCAAAAUGUACUGCGAAGUGCAUUGUGAAAUUUUGCUCUUUAAAAAUCUGGAUCAAGCUGAAAAUUGAAACGACACACAGUCAAUGUGUGUUCGAGUCUCUCAAAUUUUCGCAAUCAGAAGUGAAACAUCCUCGGGUUGUGA
Molecule: unclassified non-coding RNA, 198 nt
Filed under: Klebsiella pneumoniae subsp. ozaenae
Lineage: Bacteria; Pseudomonadati; Pseudomonadota; Gammaproteobacteria; Enterobacterales; Enterobacteriaceae
Description: partial 16S-23S ribosomal RNA intergenic spacer
Rfam family: Salmonella enterica Typhi npcRNA 44 (bases 94-191)
Source: RNAcentral